GACGAACGCUGGCGGCGUGCCUAAUACAUGCAAGUCGAACGCUUCUUUCCUCCCGAGUGCUUGCACUCAAUUGGAAAGAGGAGUGGCGGACGGGUGAGUAACACGUGGGUAACCUACCCAUCAGAGGGGGAUAACACUCGGAAACAGGUGCUAAUACCGCAUAACAGUUUAUGCCGCAUGGCAUAAGAGUGAAAGGCGCUUUCGGGUGUCGCUGAUGGAUGGACCCGCGGUGCAUUAGCUAGUUGGUGAGGUAACGGCUCACCAAGGCCACGAUGCAUAGCCGACCUGAGAGGGUGAUCGGCCACACUGGGACUGAGACACGGCCCAGACGCCUACGAGAGGCAGCAGUAGGGAAUCUUAGGCAAUGGACGAAAGUCUGACCGAGCAACGCCGCGUGAGUGAAGAAGGUUUUCGGAUCGUAAAACUCUGUUGUUAGAGAAGAACAAGGACGUUAGUAACUGAACGUCCCCUGACGGUAUCUAACCAGAAAGCCACGGCUAACUACGUG
Molecule: ribosomal RNA, 508 nt
Filed under: uncultured bacterium
Lineage: Bacteria
Description: partial 16S ribosomal RNA
Rfam family: Bacterial small subunit ribosomal RNA
Source: RNAcentral